This 279-nucleotide unclassified non-coding RNA is filed under the name Hevea brasiliensis (rubber tree). Lineage: Eukaryota; Viridiplantae; Streptophyta; Magnoliopsida; Malpighiales; Euphorbiaceae. The record is from RNAcentral.
CCAAAUAAUAUAUUAACAUUAUGACACGAUUUAUAUGAAUUAUGCUCUCAUUUUACCAAUCCCGACAGUAGCUUUAGCAAAUAUUUAAUAACUAUAUAAAUGUCUUCAAGAGGGUCAACAAUUUAACUAAAUCAUGGCAAAAAUUUAGGACCAAAACCACAUUAAUUAGAGCAUCUCAAGUGCACAAGAAAAUAAUGCAACUCAAAUUACUAUGUCACGACCCAAAUCGAGUCGUGAGUGGCACCCAAACUUAACUACCUAGGUAGGCGAACCAAGGAA